Molecule: ribosomal RNA, 406 nt
Filed under: Pseudomonas sp. oral taxon C48
Lineage: Bacteria; Pseudomonadati; Pseudomonadota; Gammaproteobacteria; Pseudomonadales; Pseudomonadaceae
Description: bacterial SSU rRNA
Rfam family: Bacterial small subunit ribosomal RNA
Source: RNAcentral
AGCGGCGGACGGGUGAGUAAUGCCUAGGAAUCUGCCUAGUAGUGGGGGACAACGUUUCGAAAGGAACGCUAAUACCGCAUACGUCCUACGGGAGAAAGUGGGGGAUCUUCGGACCUCACGCUAUUAGAUGAGCCUAGGUCGGAUUAGCUAGUUGGUAGGGUAAAGGCCUACCAAGGCGACGAUCCGUAACUGGUCUGAGAGGAUGAUCAGUCACACUGGAACUGAGACACGGUCCAGACUCCUACGGGAGGCAGCAGUGGGGAAUAUUGGACAAUGGGCGAAAGCCUGAUCCAGCCAUGCCGCGUGUGUGAAGAAGGCCUUCGGGUCGUAAAGCACUUUAAGUUGGGAGGAAGGGCUCAUAGCGAAUACCUGUGAGUUUUGACGUACCAACAGAAUAAGCACCGGC